This 201-nucleotide long non-coding RNA is filed under the name Manihot esculenta (cassava). RNAcentral's name for it is "long non-coding RNA (MESC_LNC004665)". The record is from RNAcentral. Lineage: Eukaryota; Viridiplantae; Streptophyta; Magnoliopsida; Malpighiales; Euphorbiaceae.
UGGUAUCAGAGCCUUAGGUUCACAGGAUCGGACCUAUAGAGACAGUGUCGGGCUCAUAGACGGUAGAGGUGGUCAAGCACAAUAGGAAAUCAUGUCCACUAGGAUAGGGUGUUGCGUCCUAUCUGUGAUAUGCCAUGAGUUAUGCAUGUGCCUUAUUGUUAUGUGUUGUUUAUGUGCUAAAGUGCUAUGUUAUGUGUUGUU